AGGUUAAGUUAGAAAGGGCGCACGGUGGAUGCCUUGGCACUAGGAGCCGAUGAAGGACGGGACUAACACCGAUAUGCUUCGGGGAGCUGUAAGUAAGCUUUGAUCCGGAGAUUUCCGAAUGGGGAAACCCACUGUUCGUAAUGGAACAGUAUCUUUACCUGAAUCCAUAGGGUAUUGAAGGCAGACCCGGGGAACUGAAACAUCUAAGUACCCGGAGGAAGAGAAAGCAAACGCGAUUCCCUGAGUAGCGGCGAGCGAAACGGGAUUAGCCCAAACCAGAAGGCUUGCCUUCUGGGGUUGUAGGACACUCUAUGUGGAGUUACAAAGGAACGGGGUAGAUGAAGAGGUCUGGAAAGGCCCGUCAGAGAAGGUAAAAACCCUGUAGUUGAAACUUCGUUCCCUCCUGAGUGG
Molecule: ribosomal RNA, 411 nt
Filed under: Mesobacillus campisalis
Lineage: Bacteria; Bacillati; Bacillota; Bacilli; Caryophanales; Bacillaceae
Description: bacterial LSU rRNA
Rfam family: Bacterial large subunit ribosomal RNA
Source: RNAcentral